GACGAACGCUGGCGGCGUGCCUAACACAUGCAAGUCGAACGGGGUUAAGCCCUUCGGGACUUAACUUAGUGGCGAACGGGUGAGUAACGCGUGAGGAACCUGCCUUUCAGUGGGGGACAACAGUUGGAAACGACUGCUAAUACCGCAUAAUACUUUCGAGCGGCAUCGUUUGAAAGUCAAAGAUUUAUUGCUGAAAGAUGGCCUCGCGUCUGAUUAGCUGGUUGGUGAGGUAACGGCCCACCAAGGCGACGAUCAGUAGCCGGUCUGAGAGGAUGAACGGCCACAUUGGGACUGAGAUACGGCCCAGACUCCUACGGGAGGCAGCAGUGGGGAAUAUUGGGCAAUGGGGGAAACCCUGACCCAGCAACGCCGCGUGAAGGAAGAA
Molecule: ribosomal RNA, 385 nt
Filed under: uncultured bacterium
Lineage: Bacteria
Description: bacterial SSU rRNA
Rfam family: Bacterial small subunit ribosomal RNA
Source: RNAcentral